GGGGCUGUGGCGCAGUUGGGAGCGCGCCUCCUUGGCGUGGAGGAGGUCACGGGUUCAAAUCCCGUCAGCUCCACCA
RNAcentral lists this transfer RNA (76 nucleotides) under Tepidimonas ignava. RNAcentral describes it as "tRNA-Ala". It matches the Rfam family "tRNA". Rfam says of the family: Transfer RNA (tRNA) molecules are approximately 80 nucleotides in length. Their secondary structure includes four short double-helical elements and three loops (D, anti-codon, and T loops). The record is from RNAcentral. Lineage: Bacteria; Pseudomonadati; Pseudomonadota; Betaproteobacteria; Burkholderiales. RNAcentral also lists the same sequence under 11 other names.